Peromyscus californicus insignis is the source of this 2197-nucleotide long non-coding RNA. RefSeq lists it as uncharacterized. The record is from RefSeq and is a predicted model, not a curated record. Lineage: Eukaryota; Metazoa; Chordata; Mammalia; Rodentia; Cricetidae. The transcript is spliced from 2 exons.
UAUUUAUUUAUUUAUUAUGUAUACAGCAUAUAUGACUGUAAGCCAGAAGAGGGCACCAGAUUUCAUUACAGGUGGUUGUGAGCCACCAUAUGGUUGCUGGGAAUUGAACUCAGGACCUCUGGAAAAGCAGUCAGUGCUCUUAACCUCUGAGCCAUCUCUCCAGCCCGGAAACAUUCUUUGUAUGACUCCAGUCCUUCAAAAACUUGUGGAGAGCAGCUCUGUGGCCCAGCAUACAGUCUGUCCUGGAGAGCAUCUCUGUGGUAUUGUGCACACCUGCUGUCACUGUGUAGGCGUCCUGCUGGUGACUUUUAGGUUUGUUUUGUGCACACUGUUCAAGUCUUUUGUUCACUGGUAGCAUUGAAGUCUCUCACUGUUGCUGUUGAAUCAGCUCUUUUCUCUCUCAAUUCUGUCACAUCAAGCUCACAGAUGUUGCUGCCCUAUGUUUAGCUACAGUGAUUGGAUCCUUACACAUUGCUGAGAGACUGACAUUUUGGGUUGCUGUAUCCCAGACUGGAACUAGCAGUGACCCUUCGGCUUCAGCUUCCCGUGUACUUGGAAUACAGGCAAAUAGCUCAGGCUAGUCUUAACUCGCCAUGUCACUGGGGAUGACUUUGAACUCCUGAUCUUUGCUGUUUUGUUUUGAGACUGGGCCUUGAUAAGUCACCCAGCAUACUCUUGAAUCGUCCUGAGUCCAAGCUGGCCUUGAAGCUGUGUUCCCUUGCCUUGGCCUCCUGAGCAGCUGGAAGUUCAGGCCUUUGGCAGCAGGCCCAGCUGAUGUGGUAGGUUUUGAAGUCGAGUCUCCCUACCUAGUCCAGGCUGGCUCUGAAGGUGCAGCUCCUCUGCCCAUGCCUCUCAGGAGCUAGGAUUCCAGGCGUGCACCACCACACUUGUCUAAGUUCAAACUGUUGGGGAGCCACCAAAUGGCUAUGCCCGUGCUCAUGUUUCUGAAUGUCACCUGCGUUUCCCAGAAGACUUUAUUUCUUCCUGAGAUCAAGACAGAAAGCAAAGGGAGACCUUGGAGUUCUCCUGUCAGUCCUGGAGAACCGCUGUGGCAAUGCAGGAGAAAGGGAAGUGAAGUCAAUCAGCUCAUGCAACUUCCUACUGUUCCUGCCGUGCACUGCUAAGAGAUCACCAGAGACACUGCACUGCUAACAGAUCACUAGAGACACUGCACCACUAACGAAUUACCGGGGACACUGCACCACUGCACCGCUAAUGGAUCACCGGGGACACUGCACUGCUAACAUCACCAGAGACACUGCACCGCUAACGGAUCACUGGGGACACUGCACUGCUAACGGAUCACCAGGGACACUGCACUGUUGACAGAUCACCAGGGACCCUGCACUGCUAACAGAUCACUGGGGACACUGCACUGCUGACAGAUCACCAGGGACCCUGCACUGCUGACAGAUCACCAGGGACACUACACUGCUAACAGAUCACCGUGGACACUGCACUGCUGACAGAUCACCAGGGACACUGCACUGCUAACAGAUCACCAGGGACACUGCACUGCUAAUAGAUGAUCACCGGGGACACUGCACUGCUAACAGAUCACCGGGGACACUGUGCUGCUAACAGAUGAUCACCAGGCACACAGAAACCAAAAGCUCUUGGCUGAAGCAGUUAGGAUAGUUUAUGCGCACACGGCAGAACAGCAGUUGUCAUCCUCAUUAUUUUUGUUUUUUUCAAAUCUCUCCAAGUUUGUCUACAAUGGUUGCAAGUCUGCACACAGCUUCUGUCGGGAUCUAGAGGGAGACCCCGGUCCAAGUCUGUGGUCUAGAACGUUUUGAUGGGGUUAGUGCCCUCACCCCCUCCUUUAAGGACUCCAUUUCCUCUGACUCCAACUCCUCUUUUGUUAGUUGGUUUGCUGCUGCUGCUUCUCUUUCUUCUGGGGAGCAAUCAGCCUUGCUUGUGCUGGCAGUCGCUUUGACCCCGGCCCCUAACUGCUAUCUUAAGUCAUUUUAAUCCCGACUAUCUUCUUCUGGUUGAAAAGACAAACAAGACGAAAGUUGCGAAGUCCUGCUUCCUCUUGGUCAUCUGUUGAUAUUACACCAUCCACCCCAAGUACUGGGUCAGUCUCUUCCUUCUUCCAAAUAUAGCUGUGGCCUUUUUGCUGCUGGUAACCUGUUUUGUAAUCUCAGCUCAAUGCACUUGCAGCCAACCUAAUAGUGUCCAUACGAGUUAUAGCAGC